Molecule: ribosomal RNA, 409 nt
Filed under: uncultured bacterium
Lineage: Bacteria
Description: bacterial SSU rRNA
Rfam family: Bacterial small subunit ribosomal RNA
Source: RNAcentral
UGGGGAAUAUUGCACAAUGGGCGCAAGCCUGAUGCAGCGACGCCGCGUGAGGGAUGACGGCCUUCGGGUUGUAAACCUCUUUCGCUAGGGACGAAGCGUAAGUGACGGUACCUGGAGAAGAAGCACCGGCCAACUACGUGCCAGCAGCCGCGGUAAUACGUAGGGUGCGAGCGUUGUCCGGAAUUACUGGGCGUAAAGAGCUCGUAGGCGGUUUGUCGCGUCGUCUGUGAAAUUCUGCAACUCAAUUGCAGGCGUGCAGGCGAUACGGGCAGACUUGAGUACUACAGGGGAGACUGGAAUUCCUGGUGUAGCGGUGAAAUGCGCAGAUAUCAGGAGGAACACCGGUGGCGAAGGCGGGUCUCUGGGUAGUAACUGACGCUGAGGAGCGAAAGCGUGGGGAGCGAACAGG